This 427-nucleotide ribosomal RNA is filed under the name uncultured bacterium. RNAcentral's name for it is "bacterial SSU rRNA". It matches the Rfam family "Bacterial small subunit ribosomal RNA", at positions 355 to 774 of the family's 1533-position model. The record is from RNAcentral.
UAGGGAAUAUUGGACAAUGGGCGCAAGCCUGAUCCAGCCAUGCCGCGUGAGUGAAGAAGGCCCUCGGGUUGUAAAGCUCUUUUGUCCGGAAAGAAAAGCAUCGGGUUAAUACCCCGGUGUUCUGACGGUACCGGAAGAAUAAGCACCGGCUAACUUCGUGCCAGCAGCCGCGGUAAUACGAAGGGUGCAAGCGUUACUCGGAAUUACUGGGCGUAAAGCGUGCGUAGGUGGUUCGUUAAGUCCGAUGUGAAAGCCCUGGGCUCAACCUGGGAAUGGCAUUGGAAACUGGCGGACUGGAGUGCGGUAGAGGGUAGCGGAAUUCCCGGUGUAGCAGUGAAAUGCGUAGAGAUCGGGAGGAACAUCCGUGGCGAAGGCGACUGCCUGGACCAGCACUGACACUGAGGCACGAAAGCGUGGGGAGCAAACA